Taeniopygia guttata (zebra finch) is the source of this 1803-nucleotide long non-coding RNA. Lineage: Eukaryota; Metazoa; Chordata; Aves; Passeriformes; Estrildidae. The record is from Ensembl.
AAGAGCUCCGUUCAUUAAUGACUUCCCUUUUAAAUGUCAAUCCAUGCUUUUCAACAGGCUAUUUCUCCCAAAAAAUCCAGGUAUUUUCCAACAUUGCAAUUGUUAUGCUUUCACUUUUCCUUGUUUGUUUUUUUUUCUUUUUAAGUGUGUAGUACUCCAGCAAGUGUCAUGCAAUGCCUAUAAAAUACUUGUAAAUUUUUUUCCCCUGAAAUACUGUUUUAAGGACUUAAAAAUCUUCACAAGUUUUUAACAACUCUGUUGAGGAGAUCCAGGAUAGUCACACACAAACAAAAAAUUACUAAGUAUAUUAACCUGAUGGUGAUGUACUACAAACACAUCCUGUGAAGUUCUCUGUCUGCUCAUGUACAACUUCGGAGAAUCAUACAUAGAGAAAAUGUAUACUUGUUAAAUAAACAGUCUAUUCUAACUAUGGCUAUUACAAAAUCAGUGUUGAUAAAUUUAUUGUUUUUAAAUGUAGAGUAUAAGCAUGGAAAAACUGUAUAUAAAAGAACAGCAGCAUAAUUCAUGUAAUUUCUAGGAUUUUUCAUUGACAAAUAUCAAGAAAGCCUUUGUGUGAUGAGUUGGAUGGUCAUGCUUCUCUUGACCAUAUGGCAACACUUGCAUGUUUAAGCUGGGUACAUCCCUGAGAUGAAGGACAAAAGCACAGUCAGUCCUCCACUUACAGCCUUGGGACUUUGCCUGAACCACAACCCAAGGGGAAUAAUACCAUUGUGACUGGAGUUUGGAAAACAAUUUGAACUUCUAUUGGAAACAAUUUGGAAUUGGUUUGGAAACUCCAGUUAUUACUGAUCUGAGGAUGGAAAUUUUACAGAUUACAUCUGGCUACCCUAUAAAUAGAGGUCCUAAGUGAGGCCCUUUGAACUUCCCUGGACUUCAGUGGGGUGCACCAGAAUCUCCCUUGGAGUGGGAGAUGGCUCUCAGAGCUUGCAAACUCUCAAGUUUGUGAGAAAGCUGAAGACGGCAUAGGUGGAUAAAGUCUCACUCCUUGAGCCUCAACCCUCAACCGCUGAGAAAAGCCAAGGCACUCGACGUGGGUAUUUGACUGAAAUCAGAGGGAAUUUUUCACAGGUACUUCUGUACACACUUCAUCAUGUCUGUGUGUAUGCAUGCAUGUGAAUUGAUUUAAAUACCCUCUAGCAAGUAUAGCAUAAACACUGACAUCUCAGAACGAUAAUUAAGUAACUACUACAAAUUUAGUCAAUUUUAUUGAAUUACUUGAUAAAUGCUGGAUUAGAUAAUUGAUUAAGUAUUACUUAAAUUCUUUAAGCAUGAACCAGUGAUCUGGUCUAAGGCUAAGUUUUUCAGUGGUGCCCACUCUGAACCUUGUGACUCUAUGGGAAGGUCUUCCUUACCCUUUGCACCCUUAUCACUCGCAUCCCUAGUCUUCAUGCAAGUCAUUCUAGUGAUUUUAAGGCAAUAUUCUAUUGUAUGCUUCAUUUACAUAGUAAAUAAUAGAGCAAAAAUUGCCAUUGAACCUUGCUGCACUUUCAUACAUUUAUAUACUGUGAUUCUUUAAGCUGCCUCAACCACUCAAUUGCGGCAAAUUGUCAUAGUCAACAGAAUACUAAAUCAGGAUUUGCAACAGUCUUCCACAUAAAAGCAUGAUCUUGAGAGGAAAAAAGAACUCCAAGACAGUUGAGGGUACUCAGACAGGAUGCAUUCAGCAAAUUGCAGCCUGGAUCUCUUGGCAGGAAUCCCUUGACAGCCUUACUUCCAGUUCAUUUACAGCACAUUGUCAAGGUUGGGAGGCACUGGCAGACCUGCACAGAGUGAGCUAUUUGC